RNAcentral lists this long non-coding RNA (867 nucleotides) under Homo sapiens (human). RNAcentral describes it as "HSALNT0236189". Lineage: Eukaryota; Metazoa; Chordata; Mammalia; Primates; Hominidae. The record is from RNAcentral.
AUUCAGCUAAAACUCAGGGCUUAAUUAUUGAGGAAGGGGAGAGAAAACAUUGAGUUAUAUUUGGCAGUCUUUGAUUCACAUAGCUAGGUCAUACAGUUCUGUGAGUGAGGCUUAGCCAAGGUUUAAAAACCUGAUUGUGAUAAUCUCACAGUGGCCACCGUCUCUCAUGAUAAUCUUGUGAUGGCUGCUCUGUCUGUAAGAACUAGUAAGUUAGGACUAGCCAAAGAAGAUAAGAUUUAGCCAUGCAUUUGAUUCUGUGCUUUAAGAAUGUCUAUCCUUAGACUUGAAUAAGUAUAUACUUUUGUGCAUACUUACACAGUUAAUUCUGCGUUGUUAAUCUACGUCUAAGCUUUUGAGAAUAUACUGCUGUAUUUUACUGCAAGAUGAAGGGCUUGUGAAGUAAUGUCUUUAUAGUAGCAACUAAAAUGACAAGUUGUUUCCGUCAUUCGUUUUUAUAAGAGCUAACAUGGUAAAACAGAUAGCCACGGGUGCGCAUGGUUUAUUAUAAUGCUGAGAGUUUCCAAGUGUUACAUGUUUCUUCUUUGGCUUCCCAACUUACGCUGCCAUUGGUGUCCACGCAGCUGUCUUGCUUUCACAUUCCUGUGACCUCAGUUAUUUGAGGAGGUGUUAUAAAGAAGUUCUUGGAGUUGGACCAUGGACCAAAGUCUGAAACAUUAUCAUUUUAUAGUACAACACACCUUUUCUCAUGGUAGGUGUGGUCCAGGGAGAAGGGACUCUCUCAGUUUGCUCACAAGGAGCAAUAUUUAAUUAACUGCCAUGUAGAGGGGAAAUAGAAUUAAAAUUAAGUUCUUAUUUCACAUCAGAGGUUAUAGAUUAGAUAUUUAUGCUCUUAGAGUAUGAUUCUAG